This 503-nucleotide ribosomal RNA is filed under the name uncultured bacterium. RNAcentral's name for it is "partial 16S ribosomal RNA". It matches the Rfam family "Bacterial small subunit ribosomal RNA", at positions 30 to 523 of the family's 1533-position model. The record is from RNAcentral.
AUUGAACGCUGGCGGCAGGCUUAACACAUGCAAGUCGAGCGAGGUGAUGGUGCUUGCACUAUCACUUAGCGGCGCACGGGUGAGUGAUGCUUAGGCAUCUGCCUAUUACUGGGGGACUACAUCUCGCAAGGGAUGCUAAUACCGCAUACGUGCUACGGGAGUAGGAAGGGGAGCACUUGUGUCUUUGCGCUAUUAGAUUAGCCGAGGGCGGAUUAGCUAUUGGGUGGGGUAGAGGCCUGCCAAGGCGUCGAUCUGUAGCGGGUCAGAGAGGAUGUUCCGCCACACCGGGACUGGGACACGGCCCAGACUCCUACGGGGGGCAGCAGUGGGGAAUAUUGGACAAUGGGGGGAACCCUGGUCCAGCCAUGCCGCGUGUGUGAAGAAGGCCUUAUGGUUGUAAAGCACUUUAAGCGAGGAGGAGGCUCUUUUGGUUAAUACCCAAGAUGAGUGGACGUUACUCGCAGAAUAAGCACCGGCUAACUCUGUGCCAGCCGCCGCGGUAA